GACGAACGCUGGCGGCGUGCUUAACACAUGCAAGUCGAGCGAUGAACCUUUCAUGAAUUUUUCGGAAUGAUUGGAAGAGGAUUAGCGGCGGACGGGUGAGUAACGCGUGAGCAACCUGCCUUAAACAACGGGAUAGCCUCGGGAAACCGGGAUUAAUACCGUAUGAGACCCCGCCUUCACAUGAAGAAGAGGUUAAAGAUUUAUCGGUUUAAGAUGGGCUCGCGUCUGAUUAGCUAGUUGGUGAGAUAAAAGCCCACCAAGGCAACGAUCAGUAACCGGCUUGAGAGAGUGAACUGUCACAUUGGAACUGAGACACGGUCCAAACUCCUACGGGAGGCAGCAGUGGGGAAUAUUGCACAAUGGGUGAAACCCUGAUGCAGCGACGCCGCGUGAGCGAUGAAGGAAUUCGUUUCGUAAAGCUCUGUCCAAGGGGAAGAUAAUGACAGUACCCUUGGAGGAAGCCCCGGCUAAUACGUGCCAGCCGCCGCGGUAA
Molecule: ribosomal RNA, 493 nt
Filed under: uncultured bacterium
Lineage: Bacteria
Description: partial 16S ribosomal RNA
Rfam family: Bacterial small subunit ribosomal RNA
Source: RNAcentral